CCUUAGUACGAGAGGACCGGGAUGGACGUACCUCUGGUGUACCAGUUGUUCUGCCAAGGGCAUGGCUGGGUAGCUAUGUACGGAAUGGAUAAGCGCUGAAAGCAUCUAAGCGCGAAGCCAACUUCAAGAUAAGAUUUCCCACCGCAAGGGUAAGACCCCAGAAAGACUAUCUGGUUGAUAGGUCGAAGGUGUAAGUGCAGCAAUGUAUUUAGCUUAUCGAUACUAAUAGGUCGAGGACUUGACCAAU
This 247-nucleotide ribosomal RNA is filed under the name Clostridioides difficile. RNAcentral's name for it is "partial 23S ribosomal RNA". It matches the Rfam family "Bacterial large subunit ribosomal RNA", at positions 2676 to 2925 of the family's 2925-position model. Lineage: Bacteria; Bacillati; Bacillota; Clostridia; Peptostreptococcales; Peptostreptococcaceae. The record is from RNAcentral.